AAACUUCGCAAUGUGCGAAAGCGCGACGAGGUUAAUCCGAGUGCCGCCCGCUGAGGGCGGCUUUUCUCAGGUGUAAAUGGUCUGAGGAAUAAGGGGAGGGAAAGCCUGGUGUCAGCCGCCGCGGUAAUACCAGCUCCCCGAGUGGUCGGGACGUUUAUUGGGCCUAAAGCAUCCGUAGCCCGCCCUGUUGGUCCCAGGUUAAAUCCAAUCGCUCAACGAUUGGGCCGCAUGGGAUACCGCAGGGCUAGGAGGCGGGAGAGGCGGACGGUACUCCGCGGGUAGGGGUAAAAUCCACUGAUCCGCGGAAGACCACCAGUGGCGAAGGCGGUCCGCCAGAACGCGCUCGACGGUGAGGGAUGAAAGCUGGGGGAGCAAACCGG
This 380-nucleotide ribosomal RNA is filed under the name uncultured archaeon. RNAcentral describes it as "bacterial SSU rRNA". It matches the Rfam family "Archaeal small subunit ribosomal RNA", at positions 345 to 727 of the family's 1478-position model. The record is from RNAcentral.